GGAUCAACGUAGAUCUGGAAUAGUAGCUUGAAUCGAUCUUUAACAGAGAGGGAACGGUGCUGAGAAGUUCCUACUGACAUCUUCAAGUGAACCUGCCGAUUUAGUUCUGUUUCAUACAGCGGUUCAUACCGUUAUCAUGAUUGAGUGUAAAGCUGUGCUUUAAAUUAGGGUGGUACCACCAGGAAUGGUCCCUAAC
RNAcentral lists this non-coding RNA (196 nucleotides) under Bacillus safensis. Its description in RNAcentral is "T-box". It matches the Rfam family "T-box leader". From Rfam's summary of the family: Uncharged tRNA acts as the effector for transcription antitermination of genes in the T-box leader family. T-boxes are found upstream of many aminoacyl-tRNA synthetase genes and some amino acid biosynthetic genes usually in Gram-positive bacteria. Lineage: Bacteria; Bacillati; Bacillota; Bacilli; Caryophanales; Bacillaceae. The record is from RNAcentral.